AACAAGACCUGGCCGGGGAGACACUAUGGUCAGGACAGCGGUUCACCCAUGGCUCGGUUCUCCAGGUGUACGGACUCCUGAGAAUUCCCCAAAAGUAGGAGUCUCGACUGCAUAAUUAAUAGAAUUGGGGAAAUGUGUUAGCGCUCUCCCUU
Molecule: small nuclear RNA, 152 nt
Filed under: Carassius auratus (goldfish)
Lineage: Eukaryota; Metazoa; Chordata; Actinopteri; Cypriniformes; Cyprinidae
Description: U1 spliceosomal RNA (ENSCARG00000024234.1)
Rfam family: U1 spliceosomal RNA
About the family: U1 is a small nuclear RNA (snRNA) component of the spliceosome (involved in pre-mRNA splicing). Its 5' end forms complementary base pairs with the 5' splice junction, thus defining the 5' donor site of an intron.
Source: RNAcentral